Long non-coding RNA from Manis pentadactyla (Chinese pangolin), 3303 nucleotides. RefSeq lists it as uncharacterized. Lineage: Eukaryota; Metazoa; Chordata; Mammalia; Pholidota; Manidae. The record is from RefSeq and is a predicted model, not a curated record. The transcript is spliced from 3 exons.
UGACGUACGAGUCGUCACUCCGGGCGCGCCUUGCGAGGCUUUUCGCGGCCUGCAGAGCUGCGUGGCUGGCCUUCCCAGAGGAGUGCUCCAGGAACGAAAGCUACGGAAGACGGAAGGACAUUUGCCAAAGAAAGGAUUGGCAUUUCAAGUAUUGCAGGAAGAGAGGGAACAGCUUAGUUCCCGGAGCCGGUCACGAUUGGUCGCGCUUCCUGUGACGUUAAAUGGCAGAGGCCAAAGGGAUUCCUCGGGCAGCCUCGCGGGACAAAGGCGGCAAAGGCAGAUACACUUACACGAAAUGUGGCACUUGUCGCAUCUGAGAUUCUCUUGGUUUUCUUGUUUUAACCUGUUCGUUUGUCUUCCAGUCCUGCUUCACCAAGGCCAGAGACUUGAAUCCCUGGUAACCCUAGGGCCUCGUACGUGUAGGCACUCAAAUACUGUUUCCUGAAAUAAUCCGAAUUCAUCUGUCUACAUAUGAAAAUAACCAACUGAGAAACGCCGGUGACAAUAGUUAAACGUUUGUUAGAUAGUUACUGUGUGGCAGGUAUUGCCUUUUAUGUGGAAACUCUUACUCCUCAAAGCAGCCCUAUAAAGUAUAUGUUACUAGAAUGUUAUUUUUCAGAUGAGGAAACUGAGUCAUAGGGUGAUUUGUCCAAGAUCAGAGAAUGAGGAAGUAGCAAGACUGAAGGACAUUAGCUCUGCACUUAAAACUACAAUGAAGUAUCAGUUUCCGUUUAAACAAAUUGUUUAAAUUGUAGGUGUCAAUUGUGAUCUAACCCUUAGUAAUUACUAAGAAGUCUUUUACACUUCUGUUUCAUCUUUUGUGGAAGAGAUGUACAUACCGAAAUAUCUUACACAUUUAAAACUUAAACUUUCAGACAUAUUACACAUGCUUAUUGUUUGCAUCCUCUAUGAUGUAUGAUUUUAUUGGAAAUUAGUGCAGUGUCUACAAAAAUAGGAACAUCUCUGAGGAUGCCAAAAGAUAAACCUUUAAAGAGUAUUGGAAAAUAAGUGAGCUACUAAAUUAAAAAGACAAGAUAAUUCUGAGAGGUGUUCUACAGUUUUUCUUGAUCAUUUAUGUAUAUGAUACUUUUAUCUAGAAAUUGAAUUUCAGAGCUGGAUGGAAAUGUAAAAGUCCAGUUCUUUCAUUUCAGUUCUGAGAAAGCUGAUCUGAAAGAGAUUAAAUGUUACUAGCCCAAAACUGAACAGAGUUUUACAACAAGCUGAAGUAGGUCUUUGGAUGUCCUAAUUUUAGAGUUCAGUAUAUUAAGUUCAUGAUACUGGCAUCAUGGUAUUCCAUAUGCAAAAUCAGAUUUUCGUAACAACAGUGAAAUUAGUGUGACUGGUAUAUUAUCCCCAUUUCCUUUCCUGGAAGUCACAUUGUUUUAGUGGCAAAAGCAGCUGCCUUCAAACCUGGAGCCUGUACUUGAAGGCUAGACCUCACGUCAAAUUUUGUUCUGCUGCACCAAGUCCUUGGGUGAGUUACUCAAGUCUUAGUCUCAGUCUCAGUCUUCUCAUCAGAAAAACGCUGUGCUAACACCUGUGAAGAAUUAUCAAAGAAGUAGAGAUUAUAUAACCCACUUAGCACAGAGCAAAUGUUUAAUAGCUGGGCUGGUUCUAAGAAAGUUUUCAGUCAUAGGAAUCUGUCAAAAGAAUUGGAAAAAAGGCAGGCUUUGCAAUGGCUCAGACUUGGACUGUGACCCUGACUCCAGCACUCACCUAGAAUAAGUACUUCACAUCUCCCCACUUUAGCCUCCUCCUCUGUGAAAUGGAAAUUACAAAGCCCCCUCACAGGUUGUGAGAUUGAAGCUAAAGUAUAUAAGGUGACUCCCCUAUUGUCUCUACAUGGAGGUUUGUUGUAUUAUUGACUAUCAUCAAAGGAGAUAAGUGGCAGCAUGGUGGUGUAGGUGGGGGGAAAAAUUGAGUUUCAGAGUCUGAAAAUGUGGUUACAGGUCCGUGCUGUAUUUUUUCACCCUGUGUUUUCUCCAAGUUUAGACCAUUCCCCUAACCUGAAGCCUCAAGUUCUUCAAAAUGUUUUGUGGCAGAUUUAGAAGGGGCAGUUCCUAGACUGCUGCAACAUCUACAGGAGAAAGGAUGGAUGAACAGCACCAAGAUUCAGGGACCUGGUUUGUCAGUCAAAUCCUUGGGGGUUGUCUGGUUGGGCUACUGGAGAGUGCCUCUCCUGUACAAUUGCAAGUACAAACCAAGAAGAAAUCAUUGAAACCAGGAUUUGGCCACCAAAAUAAUGAUAUUGCUAUGAGCACUGACUGCAAUAAACCCUGGGGAUUCCAUUGAGUGGAUGUGACCUUGGACAUUUUGACACAUGGACCAGUGAUGGCUGGCCAUCUUGGCAUCUUGGGGACAAGAUUUUUGCCUAUGUUGGUGUCACUAAAACAUGUUUCAUAUCAUUCUUAAGGUUAAUCUCCUCUAGUGUCUGUGUGAAUUGGGCAGACAUCCUAGCAAAAACUGCUGUUUGCUGGGUGAGCACAGCAAGUGUGAGUCAUAGACCCAUCUGAGUAGAACUGGUUUGAUACAGCCGGAAUGGUCACUUGGUGGCAGUCAGUCUCCUUAGGCUUGAGGAUUAUCAUAAUUUCUUUUGUUAUCUGUAUUGUAAUUUUCCUUAUUUGUAUAUUUUUGUAGCCUCUGUUGCUGUUGUGGAAUAUGGUUACAAUGCUCCAGCUUUCUUGCACAGGGACCAUCACAGAAGAUGGUGGGUGCAUAGACUGUGACAUGAGAAUCCUGGAGGAGUGGAGUGUAUGGAAAACAUAAGUUCCUAUGGUCAAGAUGCUCACUUGCCCCUGAUACACUCGCCCGCUGUGCAUGUCCAAUUCUUGCAGGUGCCGGCUCACACUUGGGUUGCCAGUGAGCUAUUAAGAGCUCUGCCCAGCGCUCUGGGGCUGGGAGGCGGUGGAGAAGCCCAGAGGAGAGACCAGUUUGUAUACAUACUGCUCUGGAGGCGGACAGGAUUCUAACGCUUGACCUACCACCACAAGAAUUAAGUUGGGUAUAAACUCUUUUACCCCAAGAAUGUUCCAUUGUUGUUAUUUGGUCUCACAGAAUCCAGAAUGAACUUGCCUGGGGGGAAUCCCUCUCAAGUGAGACAUUUAAUAUGUAAGAUUUAUGUUACAAAUAUUUUAUCGUUGGUUGUCAAAAAUAUAUCUGAGCAUAGAAAGAACCACAGUUCUGCUUUGAGUUUUAAAUAACUACCUUCUGUAACUAUAGUAAUGAUUUUUAAAAUUAUAUAUAAUAAAAUUUCGUAUUCCUUUUACAAUGAAAUCACAAUAAAGAUGAAUUUACAUACUUAAA